UCGAGAAUCUUUGGCAAUGGGCGAAAGCCUGACCAUGCGACGCCGCGUGCGGGAUGAAGGCCCUCGGGUCGUAAACCGCUGUCACGGGGGACGAAGUCUCGCCGCCCGAAUAAGGUGGCGAAAUUGACGGUACCCCGAGAGGAAGCCACGGCUAACUCCGUGCCAGCAGCCGCGGUAAUACGGAGGUGGCGAGCGUUGCUCGGAUUCACUGGGUGUAAAGGGCAAGUAGGCGGUUCCGCAAGUCGGGUGUGAAAUCCCACGGCUCAACCGUGGAACUGCGUCCGAAACUGCGGGACUUGAGGACAGGAGAGGUGAACGGAAUUCCCGGUGUAAGGGUGAAAUCUGUAGAUAUCGGGAGGAACACCAGUGGCGAAGGCGGUUCACUGGCCUGUCCCUGACG
RNAcentral lists this ribosomal RNA (400 nucleotides) under uncultured bacterium. RNAcentral's name for it is "bacterial SSU rRNA". It matches the Rfam family "Bacterial small subunit ribosomal RNA", at positions 355 to 745 of the family's 1533-position model. The record is from RNAcentral.